RNAcentral lists this ribosomal RNA (164 nucleotides) under Astragalus xiphidioides. RNAcentral's name for it is "5.8S ribosomal RNA". It matches the Rfam family "5.8S ribosomal RNA". From Rfam's summary of the family: 5.8S ribosomal RNA (5.8S rRNA) is a component of the large subunit of the eukaryotic ribosome. Lineage: Eukaryota; Viridiplantae; Streptophyta; Magnoliopsida; Fabales; Fabaceae. The record is from RNAcentral.
AGAAUGACUCUCGGCAACGGAUAUCUAGGCUCUUGCAUCGAUGAAGAACGUAGCGAAAUGCGAUACUUGGUGUGAAUUGCAGAAUCCCGUGAACCAUCGAGUCUUUGAACGCAAGUUGCGCCCGAAGCCAUCCGGUUGAGGGCACGUCUGCCUGGGCGUCACAU